This 634-nucleotide ribosomal RNA is filed under the name Mycobacterium sp. So3Pt_197. RNAcentral describes it as "bacterial SSU rRNA". It matches the Rfam family "Bacterial small subunit ribosomal RNA", at positions 380 to 1024 of the family's 1533-position model. The record is from RNAcentral. Lineage: Bacteria; Bacillati; Actinomycetota; Actinomycetes; Mycobacteriales; Mycobacteriaceae.
AGCCUGAUGCAGCGACGCCGCGUGAGGGAUGACGGCCUUCGGGUUGUAAACCUCUUUCAAUAGGGACGAAGCGCAAGUGACGGUACCUAUAGAAGAAGGACCGGCCAACUACGUGCCAGCAGCCGCGGUAAUACGUAGGGUCCGAGCGUUGUCCGGAAUUACUGGGCGUAAAGAGCUCGUAGGUGGUUUGUCGCGUUGUUCGUGAAAACUCACAGCUUAACUGUGGGCGUGCGGGCGAUACGGGCAGACUAGAGUACUGCAGGGGAGACUGGAAUUCCUGGUGUAGCGGUGGAAUGCGCAGAUAUCAGGAGGAACACCGGUGGCGAAGGCGGGUCUCUGGGCAGUAACUGACGCUGAGGAGCGAAAGCGUGGGGAGCGAACAGGAUUAGAUACCCUGGUAGUCCACGCCGUAAACGGUGGGUACUAGGUGUGGGUUUCCUUCCUUGGGAUCCGUGCCGUAGCUAACGCAUUAAGUACCCCGCCUGGGGAGUACGGCCGCAAGGCUAAAACUCAAAGAAAUUGACGGGGGCCCGCACAAGCGGCGGAGCAUGUGGAUUAAUUCGAUGCAACGCGAAGAACCUUACCUGGGUUUGACAUGCACAGGACGCUGGUAGAGAUAUCAGUUCCCUUGUGG